AGGACGAACGCUGGCGGCGUGCUUAACACAUGCAAGUGGAGCGACGAACCAGGCUUCGGCCUGGGGCAAAGCCGCGAACGGGUGAGUAACACGUGGGUAACCUGCCUCGAUGUUCGGGACAACCCGGGGAAACCCGAGCUAAUACCGGAUGUGGAAGCGAUCCAUAAGGAUCGUUCUCCAAAGGAAGCUUCGGCCUCUGCAUCGAGAUGGGCCCGCGGCCCAUUAGCUUGUUGGUGAGGUAACGGCUCACCAAGGCUCCGAUGGGUAGCUGGUCUGAGAGGACGAUCAGCCACACUGGGACUGAGACACGGCCCAGACUCCUACGGGAGGCAGCAGUGGGAAUCUUGCGCAAUGCGCGAAAGCGUGACGCAGCAACGCCGCGGUAGGGGGAAGAAGGCGUCGUUGGUCCGUUAAACCCCUUUCGAGGUUGGACGAAGCCGUCGGCGUAGAACGAGCCGCGUGAGGUGACGUACGUUAGAACGACGCCCGACUAACG
Molecule: ribosomal RNA, 496 nt
Filed under: uncultured soil bacterium
Lineage: Bacteria
Description: bacterial SSU rRNA
Rfam family: Bacterial small subunit ribosomal RNA
Source: RNAcentral